CGAAUUAGUGGGACUGCCGUUGUUAAAACGGAGGAAGGAAGGGGNUACGGCAGGUCAGUAUGNCCCCGAAACUCUGGGGCCACACGCGGGCUGCAAUGGUAGUGACAAUGAGUUCCAAACUCGAAAGAGAGUGGCAAUCUCUAAACGCUACCACAGUUAUGACUGAGGGCUGUAACUCGCCCUCACGAAUAUGGAAUCCCUAGUAACCGCGUGUCAUUACCGCGCGGUGAAUACGUCCCUGCUCCUUGCACACACCGCCCGUCGUUUCAUCGAAGUUUGCUUUUAGCGAGGUGAUGUUUAAUUGGCAUUAUCGAACUUGAGGUAAGCGACGAGGGAAAAGUCGUAACAAGGUA
RNAcentral lists this ribosomal RNA (353 nucleotides) under uncultured archaeon. RNAcentral describes it as "bacterial SSU rRNA". It matches the Rfam family "Archaeal small subunit ribosomal RNA", at positions 1092 to 1445 of the family's 1478-position model. The record is from RNAcentral.